Molecule: long non-coding RNA, 677 nt
Organism: Drosophila santomea
Lineage: Eukaryota; Metazoa; Arthropoda; Insecta; Diptera; Drosophilidae
Exons: 2
Source: RefSeq, a predicted model, not a curated record
GCUCGUCUAGACUAAUUAAUAAUAUUUCGUGCCUAGCGCUAAGUUAUACAAAGGCAGCCGGCGAAAAGCGGCAAAAUAUCAGCAGCAAUAAACAAAAUAAAUUCGCUGGCAUUUGUUUUAUGUUAAAAUGGGGAAAAAAUUGGAAACUGAGCCCUGAGCCAACUGACAAAGCCCUCAUUGUCUCCUGGGCCCACACAAACUGAGAUUAAUACGCAGAUUACAGCCAAGUUAUAAUUACUGGCGUCCCGAAGCGAAAAUAGGCGAGUAGAGCUGAGUAAAUUGAGCUGUCAAGUGUGCAGAUGAAAGGAGAUCGUGAAAUGGUGAGACCAUGGAAAUUGCGUGUAAUCGCCAAGCGAAAAGCGAAACUGAGUACCAAUGCCUAGACUAAUGGCGUUUUAUUUUUCGCUAGACUACGAACUCAAUUAGCUGCCGUGCGUAGCGUAAUUAAGUUGAUGCCACGCCCAAUUCGAUAACCUAAACCUCUUCGGCCGCCCACUACCUGCCACUCCCACUGCCACGGCCACCUCUACCGCCCACCAAAUGAUCCAGUUUUAUGCCACCUGACGUCGCCUGGCGAUGUGUAUGCAAAAACAUUACACGAAAUGCUUUGGAGCUGCCUUAAAUUAAUUUAUCACGUGCCGAAAUAAAGCAACUACCGGUGGCUUCCUUCCCCUGCA